AUAGGUAUAACGUGGGGCUUUAGGAUAAAUGGGUAAAACAAUUUUAGCGUCAAGACUUGUGGAUAAUGUCUUUAACAUAUUAAUAUGGUAUGUCGUUGGAUUGUUAAGAUAAGAACCACCGGCAAGAUAAAUAAUUGUUUUUUGAUCAGGUUUUCCAUUAUCAUUCCAAGAGUAAACCUGCAUGCCAUAAAGAUUUUCUUGAACAAGGGGACCAUUGACUAAAUUAGUAUCUAGUUGAUAAGGUUUAUCAGAUUGUUCACGACAGGCAUCAAGGUAUCUUUGGAAGCUUGGGUCAUCUUGUUUAGAAUAGUAACUCUUGUCACGUUUUAACCAGAAAUAUUGCUCGAUAAACCAGCUCUUCCAAGAACGAGAACUAGCUGCAACUGGAGUCGGCA
Molecule: non-coding RNA, 395 nt
Filed under: Streptococcus pyogenes
Lineage: Bacteria; Bacillati; Bacillota; Bacilli; Lactobacillales; Streptococcaceae
Source: RNAcentral